This is a non-coding RNA of Ameiurus melas (black bullhead), 73 nucleotides long. Lineage: Eukaryota; Metazoa; Chordata; Actinopteri; Siluriformes; Ictaluridae. The record is from the annotation of a GenBank genome assembly.
GCACACGGUGGUUUAGUGGUUAGCAUGUUUGCCUCAAACCUCCAGUGUCCGAGGUUCGAUUCCCGCCGGGGCC